Molecule: ribosomal RNA, 460 nt
Filed under: uncultured bacterium
Lineage: Bacteria
Description: partial 16S ribosomal RNA
Rfam family: Bacterial small subunit ribosomal RNA
Source: RNAcentral
CCUACGGGAGGCAGCAGUGAGGAAUAUUGGUCAAUGGACGAGAGUCUGAACCAGCCAAGUAGCGUGAAGGAUGACUGCCCUAUGGGUUGUAACCUUCUUUUAUAUGGGAAUAAAAUGUUCCACGUGUGGGGUUUUGUAUGUACCAUAUGAAUAAGGAUCGGCUAACUCCGUGCCAGAAGCCGCGGUAAUACGGAGGAUCCGAGCGUUAUCCGGAUUUAUUGGGUUUAAAGGGAGCGUAGGUGGAUUGUUAAGUCAGUUGUGAAAGUUUGCGGCUCAACCGUAAAAUUGCAGUUGAAACUGGCAGGCUUGAGUACAGUAGAGGUAGGCGGAAUUCGUGGUGUAGCGGUGAAAUGCGUAGAUAUCACGAAGAACUCCGAUUGCGAAGGCAGCUCACUGGACUACAACUGACACUGAGGCUCGAAAGUGUGGGUAUCAAACAGGAUUAGAUACCCGGGUAGUC